AUUGAACGCUGGCGGAAUGCUUUACACAUGCAAGUCGAACGGCAGCACGGGGCAACCUGGUGGCGAGUGGCGAACGGGUGAGUAAUACAUCGGAACGUGCCCAGUCGUGGGGGAUAACGUAGCGAAAGCUACGCUAAUACCGCAUACGAUCUACGGAUGAAAGCGGGGGACUCGCAAGAGCCUCGCGCGAUUGGAGCGGCCGAUGGCAGAUUAGGUAGUUGGUGGGGUAAAGGCUCACCAAGCCUGCGAUCUGUAGCUGGUCUGAGAGGACGACCAGCCACACUGGAACUGAGACACGGUCCAGACUCCUACGGGAGGCAGCAGUGGGGAUUUUGGACAAUGGGCGCAAGCCUGAUCCAGCCAUUCCGCGUGCAGGAUGAAGGCCCUAGGGUUGUAAAGCUCUUUCAGCUGGGAAGAUAAUGACGGUACCAGCAGAAGAAGCCCCGGCUAACUCCGUGCCAGCAGCCGCGGUAAAGUAGACGUCUC
This 486-nucleotide ribosomal RNA is filed under the name uncultured bacterium. Its description in RNAcentral is "bacterial SSU rRNA". It matches the Rfam family "Bacterial small subunit ribosomal RNA", at positions 29 to 535 of the family's 1533-position model. The record is from RNAcentral.